RNAcentral lists this unclassified non-coding RNA (358 nucleotides) under soil metagenome. Its description in RNAcentral is "partial contains 5.8S ribosomal RNA, internal transcribed spacer 2, and large subunit ribosomal RNA". The stretch from base 1 to 120 matches the Rfam family "5.8S ribosomal RNA", at positions 35 to 154 of the family's 154-position model. The record is from RNAcentral.
GAUGAAGAACGCAGCGAAAUGCGAUAAGUAAUGUGAAUUGCAGAAUUCAGUGAAUCAUCGAAUCUUUGAACGCACAUUGCGCCCGUCAGUAUUCUGGCGGGCAUGCCUGUUCGAGCGUCAUUACGCCCCUCAAGUCCCCUGUGGACUUGGUGUUGGGGAUCGGCGAGGCUGGUUUUCCAGCACAGCCGUCCCUUAAAUUAAUUGGCGGUCUCGCCGUGGCCCUCCUCUGCGCAGUAGUAAAACACUCGCAACAGGAGCCCGGCGCGGUCCACUGCCGUAAAACCCCCCAACUUUUUAUAGUUGACCUCGAAUCAGGUAGGACUACCCGCUGAACUUAAGCAUAUCAAUAAGCGGAGAA